RNAcentral lists this ribosomal RNA (460 nucleotides) under uncultured bacterium. Its description in RNAcentral is "partial 16S ribosomal RNA". It matches the Rfam family "Bacterial small subunit ribosomal RNA", at positions 338 to 795 of the family's 1533-position model. The record is from RNAcentral.
CCUACGGGAGGCAGCAGUGAGGAAUAUUGGUCAAUGGACGAGAGUCUGAACCAGCCAAGUAGCGUGAAGGAUGACUGCCCUAUGGGUUGUAAACUUCUUUUAUAUGGGAAUAAACUGUUCCACGUGUGGGAUUUUGUAUGUACCAUAUGAAUAAGGAUCGGCUAACUCCAUGCCAGCAGCCGCGGUAAUACGGAGGAUCCGAGCGUUAUCCGGAUUUAUUGGGUUUAAAGGGAGCGUAGGUGGAUUGUUAAGUCAGUUGUGAAAGUUUGCGGCUCAACCGUAAAAUUGCAGUUGAAACUGGCAGUCUUGAGUACAGUAGAGGUGUGCGGAAUUCGUGGUGUAGCGGUGAAAUGCUUAGAUAUCACGAAGAACUCCGAUUGCGAAGGCAGUUCACUGGACUGCAACUGACUCUGAGGCUCGAAAGUGUGGGUAUCAAACAGGAUUAGAUACCCGAGUAGUC